CAAGUACAGACAAGGUAUUGUAGGAAGUCCGAAGACAUUUGUUCCUAAAAAAUACCAGCUUCAAACCAUCCCUAUCAAUUCAUCCAAGAUUUAACAGAGAUCUAUAAGGGGGUUUAGGAAGGUGUGAUGACAUCCAUUUGCUUGUCUGCAAAGAUGCUGGGGAAACAUCAUACGAGAAGUACACACUAUCUUGAAUUCGCUCAAUUUCAUGGUUGGCAACACAUUAGAUAGCGUCGCACUUUAUUUUAAGAAGCAUAAAAUCCAUUGGCAUUCAAUGUUUCAACAAGGUGUUUUCAAUGUUUUCAACAAGGUGUUUUGAACCAAACUCACA
Molecule: long non-coding RNA, 331 nt
Filed under: Mytilus galloprovincialis (Mediterranean mussel)
Lineage: Eukaryota; Metazoa; Mollusca; Bivalvia; Mytilida; Mytilidae
Source: RNAcentral